Cygnus olor (mute swan) is the source of this 1238-nucleotide long non-coding RNA. RefSeq lists it as uncharacterized. The record is from RefSeq and is a predicted model, not a curated record. Lineage: Eukaryota; Metazoa; Chordata; Aves; Anseriformes; Anatidae. The transcript has 5 exons.
UUAGAUACUCAGCAGUAGACAUAAUUUGUCCUCUAUACAGCUGUCGCAUACAGCAAACCUUUUAAGAUUAAGAGGGUCCAGUUAGAUCCUUGGGCAGAUGUGUCUUAGUGGUACUGCAGUGUGUAGGUUAGAAUAUCUAAAGUGUUUCUUUGUGGUUGUUUUUUGUGUUUGAUUUAGUUAGAGGGAGAGUGUGCACAAGUCAAGAGUCCUCAGUCAUGGAAAAUCAUGGGCCUUAGAUGUCUACAGGCCCACAGAAUCCCCAUUUCUCUGUUCUGCUGAAUAUGUGAGACUUGUGUCCUUAAAAUGAUCUAAAGGACCUGGUUACAUAGCACUUUUUAAUUUGCCUUUAUUUCUUUAUUUUUUAGACUUUCUAAGAUGCCGGGCUAGCUUCAUACUUGUUAUUUGUCCAUUGCUUUACAACAGGGAAACAUUAGAACUGUUGGAUUCUCCACACAUAUUCAGCUUACCCCCCGCCAUAUUAACAAAAGAAUAUUAAUCAAAGUUAACUUACUCUAGAGACGUCUGUAACAGACAAGAAAACAAAGACACAUCUCAAUGCCAAAAGUUUGCACAAAGCCUUCAUUGUACAAGACCGUAAGAAGAAAUCAGAGACUGCUGUUCCUCCUCACGCACGGAAGAGCAACCCCAUUGUACAGUCGCACAGGCCCUGCUUAGUUACCUGGUUGUGAUCUGCCAGAUGGGAAGAGGGACAGGCAGCCUACAGCUCCACUACAUCUCUGGAGCACUCUUGCUCCUACUGUCUCUCCUUGAAUGCCAACCGUAGCUCAGUGGACGAGGAAGGGCUGUAUGCUGUCCCUUCUCUCCCAGUAAUAUAUUAUGCUGUCAGAUUGGAGUUCCGAUCUGUGAACCAGAAAAUGCUGAGGCCAAGCAGUUUUUUCCACUUCUUGAAGAAAAGUUGUUGUGAUGCCAGAAGGAUAACAGAAACCUGUAAAUGGGGAUAGUGAAGAUGAUGAAGAAAAAAGUGAUGAAAGCAGAAACAGCAACACGAAGAGUAUUAGCUAUUCAAAUAGCAGUAACGAAGAAGAAGAAGGUGGUUGUUCUGAGGAAAAUUUGUUGGGAAAUUCUAUAGUAUUUAUGAAGACAAUUCUGUGAUUCUCCAACAGGCAUGUUAAAUUACACUGUUUAAUAAUAUUUUUCUUCUGAAUUUCAAUAGUCUUUAACAUUAAUAUCAGGCCUUGGAAUUUUUGUAGUCCUUGUGUUACUUUCAAACUUAUACC